UUUCAAUUAAGCAUCCAUUGUCCUCUGGCUUUCAGAUUUCAAUGCUGUCAUUGUUUAUUGUUAGAAUGACAUUGUAGGGUAGGUGUGAGAGGCUGCACCUGGCUAUUUUCAACAUAAAACAGAAUAUUUGGGCUUGAUAUG
Octopus sinensis (East Asian common octopus) is the source of this 141-nucleotide long non-coding RNA. RefSeq lists it as uncharacterized. The transcript is spliced from 3 exons. The record is from RefSeq and is a predicted model, not a curated record. Lineage: Eukaryota; Metazoa; Mollusca; Cephalopoda; Octopoda; Octopodidae.